This 454-nucleotide ribosomal RNA is filed under the name uncultured bacterium. RNAcentral describes it as "bacterial SSU rRNA". It matches the Rfam family "Bacterial small subunit ribosomal RNA", at positions 340 to 786 of the family's 1533-position model. The record is from RNAcentral.
UACGGAAGGCAGCAGUGGGGAAUAUUGCACAAUGGGCGAAAGCCUGAUGCAGCAUGCCGCGUGUAUGAAGAAGGCCUUAGGGUUGUAAAGUACUUUCAUCGGGGAGGAAAAACAAAACUAAUAAUUUUAUUUCUUGACGUUACCCGAAAAAGAAGCACCGGCUAACUCCGUGCCAGCAGCCGCGGUAAUACGGAGGGUGCUAGCGUUAAUCAGAAUUACUGGGCGUAAAGAGCACGUAGGUGGUUUUUUUAAGUCAGAUGUGAAAUCCCUGGGCUUAACCUAGGAACUGCAUUUUGAAACUGAAAUACUAGAGUAUCGUAGAGGGAGGUAGAAUUCUAGGUGUAGCGGUGAAAUGCGUAGAUAUCUGGAGGAAUACCUGUGGCGAAAGCGGCCUCCUAAACGAAUACUGACACUGAGGUGCGAAAGCGUGGGGAGCAAACAGGGAUUAGAUACC